GUGACCUCAAAUCAGGUAGGACUACCCGCUGAACUUAAGCAUAUCAAUAAGCGGAGGAAAAGAAACUAACAAGGAUUCCCCUAGUAACUGCGAGUGAAGCGGGAAAAGCUCAAAUUUAAAAUCUGGUGGUCUUUUGGCUGCCCGAGUUGUAAUCUAGAGAAGUGUUAUCCGCGCUGGACCGUGUACAAGUCUCCUGGAAUGGAGCAUCAUAGAGGGUGAGAAUCCCGUCUUUGACAUGGACUCCCAGGGCUUUUGUGAUGCGCUCUCAAAGAGUCGAGUUGUUUGGGAAUGCAGCUCAAAAUGGGUGGUAAAUUCCAUCUAAAGCUAAAUAUUGGCGAGAGACCGAUAGCGAACAAGUACCGUGAGGGAAAGAUGAAAAGAACUUUGGAAAGAGAGUUAAACAGUGCGUGAAAUUGCUGAAAGGGAAACGCUUGAAGUCAGUCACGUUGUCCAGGGAUCAACCUUGCUUUUGCUUUGGUGCACUUUCUGGUUAACGGGUCAGCAUCAAUUUUGACCAUUGGAAAAAGAUUAGGGGAAUGUGACAUCUUCGGAUGUGUUUAUAGUCCUUGGUUGCAUACAAUGGUUGGGAUUGAGGAACUCAGCA
RNAcentral lists this ribosomal RNA (604 nucleotides) under Thaxterogaster cf. scaurus F15915. RNAcentral describes it as "eukaryotic LSU rRNA". It matches the Rfam family "Eukaryotic large subunit ribosomal RNA", at positions 1 to 601 of the family's 3401-position model. The record is from RNAcentral. Lineage: Eukaryota; Fungi; Basidiomycota; Agaricomycetes; Agaricales; Cortinariaceae.